This is a long non-coding RNA of Melitaea cinxia (Glanville fritillary), 442 nucleotides long. RefSeq lists it as uncharacterized. Lineage: Eukaryota; Metazoa; Arthropoda; Insecta; Lepidoptera; Nymphalidae. The transcript is spliced from 2 exons. The record is from RefSeq and is a predicted model, not a curated record.
UUUAAAUAUAAUUUAAGGGUAUAUAGAGAUUUGCUGUUAUAUGCUUAGUGUUAUGUAUUAAGGGUAAUUUAUUCUUUAAAAGCGAUGUACUUAAGUUAUAAUAUUUAGUUUAAAAUGUCAUCGAAAAUUGUAUUUUAGUAAAGUUUCCGCGUUGGUCGUUAUAUGUAGUUGAAUUUUUGAUCGAUUUAUUUGUACUAAUAUUAUAAGGCUGAAACUAUUGUUUGUUUAGACGUGCUAAUCUCACGAAUUAGUUCGAAUUGAUACUUUUUGUGUUGAUAGCCUAUUUAGCGAAGGCUAUAGGCUAUUUUUUCCUCAAAUUAACGCGUGUGAAAUUGCGGGGUAGAGCUCGUCUUACAUUCAAGCAAUAGGCGUUAAAUUAAACCACAGCUGACUUGCGAACUUUGUACCACCAUAUUUUCGUGAAUAUAUCGUUUUCUCCAUA